RNAcentral lists this ribosomal RNA (451 nucleotides) under uncultured bacterium. RNAcentral's name for it is "bacterial SSU rRNA". It matches the Rfam family "Bacterial small subunit ribosomal RNA", at positions 329 to 794 of the family's 1533-position model. The record is from RNAcentral.
UCCCAGACUCCUACGGGAGGCAGUAGUGGGGAAUAUUGGACAAUGGGGGAAACCCUGAUCCAGCGACGCCGCGUGAGUGAAGAAGUAUUUCGGUAUGUAAAGCUCUAUCAGCAGGGAAGAAGAAAUGACGGUACCUGACUAAGAAGCCCCGGCUAACUACGUGCCAGCAGCCGCGGUAAUACGUAGGGGGCAAGCGUUAUCCGGAUUUACUGGGUGUAAAGGGAGCGUAGACGGUAAGGCAAGUCAGAUGUGAAAGCCCGGGGCUCAACCGCGGGACUGCAUUUGAAACUGUCCUACUGGAGUGCAGGAGAGGUAAGUGGAAUUCCUAGUGUAGCGGUGAAAUGCGUAGAUAUAAGGAAGAACACCAGUGGCGAAGGCGGAUGACUGGACGGCAACUGACGGUGAGGCGCGAAAGCGUGGGGAGCAAACAGGAUUAGAUACCCCAGUAUGA